CUUGGUCAUUUAGAGGAAGUAAAAGUCGUAACAAGGUCUCCGUUGGUGAACCAGCGGAGGGAUCAUUACCGAGUUUACAACUCCCAAACCCCUGUGAACAUACCUAUACGUUGCCUCGGCGGAUCAGCCCGCGCCCCGUAAAACGGGACGGCCCGCCCGAGGACCCUAAACUCUGUUUUUAGUGGAGCUUCUGAGUAAAACAAACAAAUAAAUCAAAACUUUCAACAACGGAUCUCUUGGUUCUGGCAUCGAUGAAGAACGCAGCAAAAUGCGAUAAGUAAUGUGAAUUGCAGAAUUCAGUGAAUCAUCGAAUCUUUGAACGCACAUUGCGCCCGCCAGUAUUCUGGCGGGCAUGCCUGUUCGAGCGUCAUUUCAACCCUCAAGCUCAGCUUGGUGUUGGGACUCGCGGUAACCCGCGUUCCCCAAAUCGAUUGGCGGUCACGUCGAGCUUCCAUAGCGUAGUAAUCAUACACCUCGUUACUGGUAAUCGUCGCGGCCACGCCGUAAAACCCCAACUUCUGAAUGUUGACCUCGGAUCAGGUAGGAAUACCCGCUGAACUUAAGCAUAUCAAUAAGCGGAGGAAAAGAAACCAACAGGGAUUGCCCUAGUAACGGCGAGUGAAGCGGCAACAGCUCAAAUUUGAAAUCUGGCUUUCGGGCCCGAGUUGUAAUUUGUAGAGGAUACUUUUGAUGCGGUGCCUUCCGAGUUCCCUGGAACGGGACGCCAUAGAGGGUGAGAGCCCCGUCUGGUUGGAUGCCAAAUCUCUGUAAAGUUCCUUCGACGAGUCGAGUUGUUUGGGAAU
Molecule: small RNA, 803 nt
Filed under: uncultured Fusarium
Lineage: Eukaryota; Fungi; Ascomycota; Sordariomycetes; Hypocreales; Nectriaceae
Description: eukaryotic LSU rRNA
Rfam family: Eukaryotic large subunit ribosomal RNA (bases 527-803)
Source: RNAcentral